Molecule: ribosomal RNA, 72 nt
Filed under: Gracilibacillus orientalis
Lineage: Bacteria; Bacillati; Bacillota; Bacilli; Caryophanales; Bacillaceae
Source: RNAcentral
ACAGUAGUUAAGCUCUCCAGCGCCCAUGGUAGUUGGGGCUCGCGCCCCUGCGAGAGUAGGACGUUGCCAGGC